CGGACGGGUGAGUAACGCGUGGGUAACCUGCCUCAUACAGGGGGAUAGCAGCUGGAAACGGCUGGUAAUACCGCAUAAGCGCACAGUACCACAUGGUACAGUGUGAAAAACUCCGGUGGUAUGAGAUGGACCCGCGUCUGAUUAGCUGGUUGGCGGGGUAACGGCCCACCAAGGCGACGAUCAGUAGCCGACCUGAGAGGGUGACCGGCCACAUUGGGACCGAGACACGGCCCAG
This 235-nucleotide ribosomal RNA is filed under the name uncultured bacterium. RNAcentral describes it as "partial 16S ribosomal RNA". It matches the Rfam family "Bacterial small subunit ribosomal RNA", at positions 99 to 334 of the family's 1533-position model. The record is from RNAcentral.